Molecule: ribosomal RNA, 373 nt
Filed under: uncultured organism
Description: bacterial SSU rRNA
Rfam family: Bacterial small subunit ribosomal RNA
Source: RNAcentral
CAGAGGUCUCGAGCGUUAGUCGGAUUCAUUGGGCUUAAAGCGUACGUAGGCGGAUAUGCAGGCGUCGUGUGAAAUACCUCGGCUCAACCGAGGAAUUGCACGGCGAACCGCAUGUCUUGAGAUCGGUAGGGGCGGUCGGAACGAUAGGUGGAGUGGUGAAAUGCGUUGAUAUCUAUCGGAACGCCGAAGGUGAAAACAGGCCGCUGGGCCGAUUCUGACGCUGAGGUACGAAAGCGUGGGGAGCGAACGGGAUUAGAUACCCCGGUAGUCCACGCCGUAAACGAUGUGCACUAGAUCGAGGAGGUUCUGAUACCAUUCUCGGUCGAAGUAAAAACGUUGAGUGCACCGCCUGGGGAGUACGGUCGCAAGGCUA